GAGAAUCAUGCAUGUGAUGUUUCCUGCUAAGUUGAACAAUAAAUAGGAUUCAAUUCUAGCAUCACAUAUUGCAGCCAUAUAUUCUGCAAAGUUAUAACCGUCCUUUUCAACCUUUGUAUCCGUGACCUUCCUCUCACAAAUGGAGCUGUGUGGUGUUCUUCAACAUUCUGAGAUGAUAGCUUAUUUCGACAUCGCAAAAAUUUCAUCCCAGCCCUAUGCAGAGAUCCAACCAAGUUUUGUUGAAGCUCACAGAGAUGAACUCUCCAAGUGUUGGACAGUGAUGAACAGCCAAGGUGUACACCAUGAUGUAAUCUAUAACCAAAUAGAGAUUCAACCACUCGUUAUUAGCGGAUGGCCCUGUAUGCAGUCAUAUUACAACCUACCUUCUGACGUGGUUGUGAGAGUUGGAUAUUAUGGCAACAAUAAUUUUGGAAUUUUAUCAUUCAAGGAGGUGCAAACAAAUGAAGAUUUGCCUCGUUUCCAUAGUCGAAGCCUCAUGAAGCGGGACAUUUGGUUUUUUGAUAUGGAUGUCUUUCCAUUUAGUGUAGAUCGUCCUAAAUUAAAAAUACACGAGGAUUUCGCUUCGUUUCUCGGAGACUAUGGAUAUGGGUUUAUUGUUCUGUGCGGUGACAAUGGAAGGCAUAAGAAGAUGUCGCCGUUAAAUAUUUCAGACCCCCGACGCACAAAAUUGGGAUAUGGCUGGGACGAAUUCUGCACCUCAAACAACUUUAAAUGCGGAGACCGAAUUCGAUUUAGGUUAGACAUUACUUCUGUUGCCAAAACAUGUCACGUGUAUUCACUGCCACAAGUGUAAGAGAGCAAGAUUAUCUAUGCGUUAUUGAACUUGCUAUGGUUAGUUGCAAUAUGUUAAGUUAUAAUUGUUGAGUUAUAAUGUUCAGUUCUACUUGUUGCUGCAUAAGGUAUAUAUUAAGUAAUCAUGAGGACCAGAAUAAUGUUUUGCAUACAUAACUGUUACAACUUAAGAAGUUGUACUCCGACUGACAUAUAACAGGGCCUUCAAAAUAUAUUAGCACACAUAAACCAAAAGUAAUGAAUAUUUUACUGGCAUGAUGAGCAGUCGUGUCCAAAGGUUGCCUGAAGGAUGUAAAUCCGAGCGACGCCGCAGAGUUCAAAGCCUGCACUUCAACUUUGAACAUAUUUACAGACAACAUCUAAGGUUGGCAUAAGCAGAACUAUUGCUUCAGAGUUGAGGUGAUGUUCUUAUAUACCUUAGCUAACAACCAUCUAUAUGUUGUUGAAAGUAUACAAAAAGGUGUUGCAGACAGAACUGUCAAAACCUUAGAUGUUGUAUUCCCACUGGCAUAUAAGAAAAACUCUAUAUAUUAGCAGUCCCAUACAAAAAGUUACGAAUAGGAUACUGCCAUGAUGAGCAGUAGUUUUAAAAUGUUGUCGGAAGGAUGUCUAUCCGAGCGACGCCGCAGAGUUCCAAGCCUGCACGUGAACUUUGAAAAAAUUAAAAGAUAACAAAACACCUCCAACAUAAGCAGAACUAUUGCUUCAUAGUAGAGGUGAUGAAAGUAUAUACCUUAGGUAACAACCAUCUAUAUGUUGUUGAAAACCUCCUUAUACACGACGUUUGUAGUAGUCGACUUACGCUGGUCAUUUUGAUCAUAUAUCAGUAUCUUGAUUCCUUGCUUCGUUGUGACCCUUGACAGUGCGACGUAGAUUUGUCCAUGAGUAAAUACGUCCCUUGGCAAAUAAAGUCCGACUGUAUCCAGCGAUUGUCCCUGAGAUUUAUUGAUCGUCAUUGCAUACGAAACAACUAUUGGGAAUUGACGCCGUUUAAGCUUGAAAGGCCAGGGGGAUUGAGAGGGAGACAUGUCCAUUCUUGGUAUGUAUACCAAGUUACCACAACCCUUACCGGCCAUGAUUUUUGCCUCUAUGACAUGGUUGGCCAUCUUAGUUACCAUUACCCUUGUUCCGUUACACAAACCCUCCGACUGAUCUAUAUUACGCAUAAGCAUAACAGGCGUUCCUACUUUCAGGCUAAUGUGGUGGUUCGGUAAACCCGAAGUAGUUAGUGAACUGAGAAACUCUGGUGUGAGGAUGUCGACUACAUUGGUGUCAUGAAUUUCGGACCGGUCGACAGUGUUUGAGCUGUAGUAUUCCUUGAUCUCACCUAUAAUUCACAAACCUGAUUAAUUUAACUGAAACACAGUGAGUUAAAUUAUAUAAGAAUGGAUUCAGAAGCACUGGGAAUUAAAUGAAAACCUGGCAUUAAAUCAAGGACGUGACGAUUAAUUUGAUCGACAACUUCUAACGUAGAAGCAAGUAUCGCGCGACUUUUGAGGUAGUCGUUACGUUGGUAAUUCUGUAUGAAAUCAGGGUAAGUACUAUUGACAAUGGCAACGAUUGGAUCGCUGUAGUCCAUUAUCAGAAGUUCCGGUGGCAAGUCAAUGUCGGCAAAUCCAUCAUUUGGCUCAGAGACUUUUCCUUCACCAAUUUCCAACAACCACUUAGAGAACUCAGCUAUUUCAGACCUCUCAUGCUCAUUUGGGCCGGAUUGCAGUCGCAUGUUUUGUGUCAAUGUCAGAACUUCAACAUCCCGCCAUAUGUAAGAAGCAUUUAUUGCUGAGUGUACGAUAUCAGAACGACUUCCUCUAGGUACAACGGGCAAAAUCUGUCUGAAAUCACCGCCGAAUACAACCACCUUUCCACCAAAUAUUUCCUUUGAAUUGCUGUACGUACUCAUCACAUCCUUCAAAGUUCGAUCGAGUGCUUCAACAAAGCUGAACCAACUAUGUACUGAGUUAAGUGUAUGGGCACAACCUGCAUUCAUAACUAACUGUCUUUGUUCGUGGAGCAGACCAUCAGCCAGAAGUAUCCAAGACUCUUUCCAAACAUGACCAGGCCUGUUAACAGCGCCUGACAAAAGCAUCACUACGAAAAGCUUGCGGAGAAAAUGUCCGGAUCCCCAUUCACUUGCUUCCUUUAUCGCCCCUAUGUAUUCACGGUCAUCUUCAAGGAAGCCCAUUGCAAAGCAGGCAUCCCGAAAAGUAUCAUACUGUGUGUCGCCAACUCUGCGAAUAUCUUCGUAAGUAGAUGGUCCCUUAACCACGGUCAACAUCAUUCGAAGAUAAAAUAAUUCUCCUGUCGUUGGGGGUACCCAUAUCAAACGGCCAAUGGUGAACCCCUUUUUACGCGGUUUCCAAGUUCUGGCCUUCUUUUCAUAAACAAAUUUAGAGACAAAUUGGCCAUAGGUGAGAGUACGUGCUUCCUCGUACUUGCCGUUAGCAACCAACCAAGCUGUAAACAUUGACUCCGUGACGCUUGCUUUUUCCAGUACAUCUUCCAUUCGUGCGUGAUCGGGGUAGUAAACCGCUUUUUCUCCCACUAAAUGAUAAUACAUGCGUUCCACCGCCGGUCUCCUUCCAUGAAUUUUGUAUGAAUAUAUCCUCCAACAUCCCUCACAUGGGGAGACAUACCUACAAUCCAAAUAUUGUUUUAUCUCAUCAAUUGGAUCUUUGUCACGACUGGCCCCCGAGUUUGUAGUUAUUGUUGCUGUGAUUCUAUCGAAACCCUUAUGAAUAUACUUGAAGAGAUAUUUGAUUGAUGUACUUUGGUUGCACCACUCCAUGUUAAUAUGUGCAUGGUAUUUCAAAAGGAACCUUACGUUGUACGGUACCACAUGUCGGUUGUCUAAAGAGAUUCCAUUUUUUUGAAUGACAUGGGUAUGUGAACGUCUUCUAUAGAGGGGAUAGCCCUCCGCGUCAACAACAGUGUGUUCAAUGAACUUCUUGGGGAAGAAUUUAGUACAUUUCCUGUUUUUCAUACACUGUGAAUUCAUGCGGGAUGGACCACACGGGCCGUGCAUCAUGUGGGCCGACACCAGUUUGUACAGGGUUGGUUCUAACACCGGGUCCGGAAUUUCAGCACAGAUGAUAUUAUCUAUAUCAGAAGGGGUUGGGUAUUUGCUCUGAGGGUGCAAAAAAACUAAUAUGUGAGCAUGUGGCAAUCCCCGUUUUUGAAAUUCAAUCGUGUACAUGACUGCAACACAAAAGCACAUGUUAAAACAAAAUACACUGUCAUGUAAAAAAGACAAACAACAUUGACAUACACAAUAUUGAGAAAAGUCCAAAACUAUACAUGCAAUAACCUUCCCAAGAACAUGGCGCUUUGUUAUAUCAUCCAUGAGCUCAUCAAAUUUUAUUUUGAAUACUUUAGUAAUAAGAUCAGGUCUAUCAUGUGGCUUUAAGUUAGUCCCGGCAAGGGCACGUUGUAUUUCCGGCCAAGCAGGAUUGCAAGUAAACGUCACAAACAAAUCGGGGAACCCUAACUUACUUGAAAUGGCCAUACCAUCAAAAUAGAGUUGAUCCAUGUACCGCUUGCUCCCAACAAAAGUAGAUGGCAAAACAACUCUCUUUCCUUGCUUUGGUGCCGCAUUAGUCUCCGUGUCGUUGCAUUGAUCCUUCAAGCUGUUAUACUUCCCAACACGUAACUUUGAUUGAUUGUUCCUUAACCAAUUGAGACGCUCAGACUCCAUCAUUGCAAAUCCAUCCACUAAAAACUGUUGAAAAAGUCUCCUUGAAUGAAGUAACGUUUUUGCCUCACAGUUGCGAUCUUGUAGCCGGAAAGCUAGCCAAUCCAUGAUCGAUUGACGAUUUUUCCGCGUAACCUCCUGCUCGUGCUCAAAUCUUUGAAGUAUAUUUUUCCUAUAUCCAUCCUCUCCAUAAACAAAAAUGAGAGGGUAUUGGUAUGCCAAGUAAGCUGGAUGAAAUUCGUUAAUCUGUUGCAAAUGCCCAUUGCGGGCGUGGAUGAUGAUGUCUCGCGUUGUAUCAGGAUCAAUAUCUCCCACAAUAAGAGCAGCAACUUCUGAUACAGUUGGUGUGUUGUAGACACGGCCAUCCUGGGGACGAUCACAGAUUAGCCGUAUCUUCAAAUCUAAGAAAGGGUUUCCUCUCAAAAGAUCCCUCGCCAUUCGAAAUGCCUUUGCAUGUGGGUUGCAGUCGUCCAACAUAUCCUUCAACUUACCAACGACUUCCCUAUUGACCACAUCACUGUCACUGCACAUCAUUCGAAAGUCGUUGCACAUCAUUAGAAAGUCGUGAUAAUUGAGUUUGCGUCACAAUUACGAUGGUGAUAUAUUAAGUGCUGAUAUGUACAAUUACCUGAAACAUUUUAUUCGGUUAUCAAUUUCAUUGUCCGUGUCAAAAAUAUAAAGCUGAGCAUACUGCGGAGUCUGGCCAUCAUCCGGUAGCAACGUCCCUAUUCGAUGACAUGUUUGACCAUGCAAGCGUAAUGUAGGAGGCCCUCUCCCAUCAGCAACGGUUUUGUCAAAUUUCAUUCCUGGAGACGUGAAGGAAAACAUGGCGUUGUAAACACGAAGGUUGCUUUGGUAGUUUUUGCUUUCUUCACUGGCACUGCUAUGUAGGAGGUGUUGCAGCAGUGGCGGGGGAUUAGUUAGUAACGGCAGCACAACUUUUCCGCUCCUACAGCACCGGCUGAAUUUAGGAACAGUGGUAUGUCGUGAUUUCCCCUUCCGUUCCUGAUACCACAUAGUGGCAUGACAAAACUGACAUUCCCAAACUCUAUCUCCUAUGUCAGAGUAUUCUGCAUUGAAUGGUAAAUGGAUUUUACAAACUAAUAUAUAAAACUUUAAAUAGAUUAAAAAUGUUAGAAGGUAAGCAUACGUUGUAGAUGGGCAUCUACGGCCUCUUCGUUAUCGACUCCAUCGUAAUUAUCAUCAGAAUUGUCUCCCAAGUUGAGACCAUCAUCGGAGCUAGAGUUUGCGUCAUCUGUUGCUUGAGCUGCGGUGACAGCAAUUGGUGUAACAUCGUCCACACGUGGAUUAGACGUAGAAGCCACGCAUGUGUUAGGAACCUGGAGAACUGUUUGGUUAAAUUCUGCUAGAAGGUUAUUGGUAGCAUGAAGAUUAAGCCUUUGUCUUUUUUGCGCUACUCCACCUCUUACAUGUCUAUUGGAAGGGGCUGUGUUAGUCAGGUUAGAUAGGUUUUCAGAUAGAGGUCGUCGAUUACACGGAGACAACGUCAUAUUCGUGGAACUAACGUCCUUUCCGAACAAUGGUAUAUUUUCUUUGUUAUGUUGAUGUGGGGCAUUCUUCCGGUUAAACAAAAUCAUCCUCCUCCUCUUUCUAGCCAUUGCAUGAGCAGUUGAAUGGAGCAAGGGUUGACAAUGAAUAGAAACAGGUGUUUCAUUUGAUUGGAGGGUCCCACCCAUGGAACAACGACCAUUUGUAGAAUGGGAUACAAUUUGGAUGGGGGAGGUAAUUUGUUGUUGUUCAACAGUAGGUGUACGUGGUAGAUUAUGACGACGUGCGCCUCUCCUUUGAGCCAAAAUAAACCGUCUCCGACGUCUGGCAAUAGCAGCCUUGUUACUUGGAUUAGAAGUAUAUCCGUACUCCAUGGGUUAAUGAAGACUUAGAUGGCAUAUAUCAGUUUAGAUGUGCAAACAGAGUUUAGUGUAUCUUAAGAUGGUAAUGGUACACUGAAUGUAGUAUCAGUCUGCUUUUUACUAUCAGUGGCUAAACUGAUAGUUUUUUUCAAAUUGGGUGGUAUCAAAUAUUAGAGGGAGUUUUGAAUUCUUUUCGUUUUCCCGCGAACUGGCUGAGUAGAUUUGAAAUUUUCCAUCAGAACUAAAAGUCAUAAUAUUAUUAUAAAGAAGUGCUGUCUGUCCAUGGGAUGGGUUUGAUGGGUUUUCAGUUUGGCAUGUAGAGUGUAGGAAAACGUAGCCUGGCAUGUAGAGUGUAGGAAAACGUGUAUACACAGAUGAUUGGACAGCUGAAACAAUAGAUUGUAGGUGUUACUUUUAAAAAUCCUGCAGAAGAAGUUUGCUCAUAUCUACCUUGCACGUGAUUGUAUUUUGGUAGAUUAGUUAUAAAAUAUAUAAUUAAAAGUAAAUAAACAUUAUGCCUUGGCAGUAGGAUUUGAAGUCGUUAUAGGGAUAAGGUGUAUUUGAAAAGGUUUAUUUAAAAAGGUUUUUCUGAAAAGUUCUUAGCAAAACAUAUACUCAAGGCAAUUUGAUGUCAAACAGGUUUCAGCAGAUAGGUGUAGUUGGAGGUUGUGUUGAGGAGUAGUGAGAUAGUUAAUUGAAAUACUUUAGGAUGUCGUUUUGUAGGUAGGUAUCAUUAGGAGUGCAUCAUUUUUAUUUAAAAAUUAAUGAAUCAUAAAUUUAGAAGUCUGGUUUUGGAAGAAAGCAAAUUAGUACAUAGUAAUGAAAUGUCAUUGCAUUGUCGAGGUUGAUUACUGUAUAACCAAAUAUUGCUGAAAUCUGUUUCAACUCUAUGUUAUAUAUUAUGAAAGCAGAUGGGAAUUCACAAACCAAAAGUUAUAACAGGACAUCAAAUAAUAAUGUUCCAACCGUGCUUUCUGACAUCAAGUGCGCACUAAAGAUUCUUAUAAAUUUUGAAAUAGUUAUAAGGUAGCAACAAAGAUAACAAAGAUAGUAGGAUAAUCCCAACCAACAAACAGCUGCUCAAUAGAGGCACACAACACAGUAUCAAAAUGGUACAUGCCAACACAAAAAGUUUUAGCUAAGCAGGAGUACAACUAUUUGCUCAUUUCCAACUUGAUGAUCUUUUUAAGUUUUGUGGAAGAAAGUUCUCCAUCACACACGGUCGUCGAUUCGCUUGACCCAUCAUGAUUUUGCCUUUUAGCAGUUGGUGUUUGCGGAUCGGGGUUACGUUUGGAUGUUAUCUCCAGAUCCUGCAAUCACACAAUAUGAAGAAACAGUUAGAAAUUUUGCACUAUUUUGUGAAUGUUUUGAAUACAUCAGUUGCGUAUGUCCUUCCUCAUACCGUAAGAACUUCACAAUCAUCGGCAGCAGCGGUGUCAGCUUCAUCAACGCUCUCUUUUAUCUGAAAAACGUUAACACACAUGCUCGUAUCAUAAUUAUAAAAACCGAUAAGGAAUAUACACAUAAAUUCGGCAUUGAAAUACAAAAUUUGUGGUCAUGAGACGACCUGCACUGGCAAUUUUAUUUCGGAAGGUUCAGAUCUCGUGAGGUUGGCCUAAUACAGAAAAAACACAUUCAGCAUUACAGGAGGAGGAUGUAAAACAAAAGAAGCUUCAGUUGUGAUUAAGUGUCACCUGUGUAGGCUCCCAAGGAGCACCGAAUUGUUUCACAAACGGCUUGUCAUCUACAAACAUAAUAACAGAGCAGCUGUCCCAACUGGGUUGCCACCUAACUCUUAAAGCCAGAUCCAAUUCCAACAUGGCAUCAAGCCGUAAGGGAAAAUCCAAUGGAUCCGUGAUACCGGCCUAUAACACAAAGCGACUGAGUUAGGGAUGGAUCCACAUACAACACAACGUUUCAUCAAUUAGUUGAUAUAUUUUCCAACAUGAAUAACCUGUAUCAUCGUGUCCCGCAUUUGGGCAGCUGAAAUGCCGAGGAUCUGUCUGCAUUCUCUGUCCCAAAAAAUAAACUUGCAAGAGGUCUCAAGGUGGAACCCUUCCACUUCAAUCUUAUACCUGUCGUUGGAAUCAUGUUACAUGUAAAAAAAUAAUACUACGUACAAAUGGCGUAUAUUUCGAAUAAAAACAGGUGCACACAUUCAUACUUAUAUAUUUCUGUUUCAGUCAAAUGGUGAUUAUCACAUUCGUACGGGGGUCUUUCACCGCGUGCCGUUUUGGUACAUGCAUGACAGCACCGGUAGUACCAUCCAUUGGACGAAGCGAUAAUUUUCCUUGUCUUUGCAACCGUAGCACAGAAUUUCUCCUGCUCCAACACACAAUCAUGGACCAGUAUUAAUCAUAUGGUUUACUUUGGCAUCAAAUUUAUCAGUAAACGUAUUAGUAAGUAAACCUCGCGCAGUUGCUUAAUCUCACUCAAUGGUAGAGCAACAGCUUUAUUAAGCAACUUCUGAGUGUCAGUCUGUUUGACGUUAUCAGCACCCGAGCUGCGGGAGUAUUGCUGAGAGUGGGAGCUGAGUUGGGUUGAAACAGUACGCAAAGUUGCCUCUGAGAAACUGCAUGUAGAGAUAAGAUAACAUAAAUAACCAAGAAUGACAUAUAAUGAAUGUUUUACAAAAAAUGUCAUGGAAGAUACCUAUUAAUGAAGUCCUUAACUAAAGGCAGAUCUGGAUUGAUUUGUAGUUUUGUAACAUGGAACGUAUUUGUAACUGAUAGCGGGUAUUGGCCUACAUUAAAAAGAAACGUAUUCAAAAUAUUUUACAAACAUUACCGAUACACAUUAACAACAAUACAUCAUACCCUGUUGUUUAACUUUUGCAUAGUUAAGCAUCACCACUGUUGGUCCAGUUGUCGUGGCAUUUUCCUCGACAAACUUGAAAAACUGUUUGGCAUAGUCCUCCCAUAGGGUGCAGUUCAUUGUGUUGUUGCUGGUAAAACGACAACAUUUAUAGUUAGAAGGCAAGAAUUAGAAGCAUAAGAAAAUCAGUAGAAAUUCAGAAGAAAAUUGAGACUACACACGCUGCAUCCCUCAGUACGAAAUUGACUUGGCAUUUUUUUCCACCGCUUCCAGUUUGUUGAUAUCCAAUAGCAUCGAUCACGCCAAUAACAUCUAAGGGCAUAAUGAAAACAGCAAACAUCAUAAAAUGAACAACACCAUAUAAGCAAAAGUAUAGACAACACAAAAUGUAGAGUUACCGAUCAACAGGUCCUUUUUAAAGUUGCCGGUCAUAAUAUCAGGGAAACUGGUGAAUGUGCGCUGUAUGUGGGGUAUUUCAUGUUUGUUGACGUCGUUCACAGAAGUUCCUCCAGUGAACUUCACCAAGAACUUGUGAGUAGUUGGUUUAAAAACCAAGUUGUUUGGCAGAACUGCAAAGUUAGAUACAGUGUACGUGUGGUCCACCUCAAAUUUGUCAUUGUAAGCGGCCAUGCACGUAGUUGGAACAACUACGUGAAUAUCAGACCCCUGUCAAAUGCAAAAGACCAAAAACUUGUUAAUCCUAAAUAUGUCAACACAAAGGAAAACACGUUUCAAAGACAAACAAUAUAUCAACAACCCAAAAUAAUGAAACGGAGAUCAACAACAAAAACAUGGAAAAAAAUAUAAACAACCAUUGUUCAAAACCCUAAAUCCAUACCCAUUAACAACAUUUUUUAACAACAUCAAACAUCAGAUUAGGGUUUAUUCUAAGAAACGGAAACUUCAGUGGGACUAACAGCAUUCGGACAACAACACAACAAACGACAAACGACACACCUAUAAGACUUAACAUAAACAUUCAGUUACCUCAUUGUCUUGAAAAAUCAUCUCAAAGUGCUCUUUGUUGUUGGAUACCACCGUCCAUUUGUGGACAACUCUCACCGCCACUUUCCAAAGUUCUUUGGUGUCGUUGAUGUCCACCACCUUCUCCAUCGGUCGAGCCAUCGUUGAAGAAGUAGAACUAAACGUUACAAAACGGUAAACGGAGGGAGGAAGGUGUACUAUGAAGAUAGCAGAGAAAUGAGGAGGGAAGAAGAUGGAAGAAGAAGAUAUAUUAAGUCAAGACAGAGUAAGAUAGGAAACUGGUGGAAAAGAGGAAGCUGGUAUAAUUAGACAGAUUAGACAUAUUAGGAAAAGUGAACAGUAUAUUGGGGUUCCAAUAAAGAUAUAUUAGAUUUUACACCUUAUGCCUUUGCAUGCACAAUAUAAAAUGAGGAACCAAAUAAAGGAACCCGUGAAGAAGUGGCAAGUUAGAAGCAUUGUGAAGUGGAGGAAGCAAGGCUCAUCAAAGCAGCUAUCCACGUGGAGCAGCAAUAGAACAAAGGGGCAAAUAGGUACUUUCAACAACAAUUAUCUUUCUUAUAUUGUAGAUAAAUGUUAUGAAACGACUUUCCAUCUAAUUCUUUAUGCAUUGAACUAUAACAAAAACUCUUUGAUUCAUUUGGGUACAUGGCAAUAUUUUUAACACUAGAUAUUCAUAUGGUCAUGGUCAUGACAACCAAAGCUUUAAAUAUUGGUGAUAGAAUUGUUUGAUAUAGAUUGAUGCUUAUGAUUUUGAGAUUCUGGCUACGUGCAUUCAAUGCAAUUGAUAAUGAUUAGAUAAAUAAGUGAUAAAUUAUGUGGAUAAAUUGAUAGCAUUAUAAUAAAAAUAA
Vicia villosa (hairy vetch) is the source of this 11018-nucleotide long non-coding RNA. RefSeq lists it as uncharacterized. The record is from RefSeq and is a predicted model, not a curated record. Lineage: Eukaryota; Viridiplantae; Streptophyta; Magnoliopsida; Fabales; Fabaceae. The transcript has 3 exons.